RNAcentral lists this long non-coding RNA (835 nucleotides) under Homo sapiens (human). RNAcentral describes it as "HSALNT0305269". The record is from RNAcentral. Lineage: Eukaryota; Metazoa; Chordata; Mammalia; Primates; Hominidae.
CAGGCCCAGGCCCCCAGCGCUCCCCCUUCCGCUCCGAGCGGGAGGGGCUAGCGAGCAUGCGCAAUAAGGACCAGAUGAGCUGUUUGAUGUGAAAAGGGGCGGAUUUUCAUUUGAAAAGGGUGCCUUCGAGAACUGGAAGUGACAGAUAAGUGCCCUCUGUGUACCAAAAAGGAAUGUACUGUUUAUAGAGACUUCAAAUCAGCAGAAAAUUCAAAUAGUUAUAACUUUUCUUUAUAAUCCAUCAUGAAAAAGAGUAACGACAAGAAGCUGAUUCCUGCCAACUGCAUUUCCUGGGCUCAUUUAACCAUGCCCAGAAGGAAUUAGGACAAUGAAAGAUAAAAAGAUAAAGGAGCCAACAUAUCCUCUCCCCUUUGAUUCAGACGACUUCUCCACCAUCACCUUCUUCACAAUGGCCACUUUUCCUCUGCAGUUGGGGUUCUUCUUCCCCAGCAAUGGCUCCAGGACUCUGUUAACUCAGCUCCUCCCCAGUUCUAGAGGUAGACGGUAGAGGCUUCCUGCUAUUGUUACUCUGGGGUUCCCCUUCUUCUCCAGUUUGGCUUUCCAGCCCUUCCAACUCCUUUGUAACUAGUUCCUGGUAUCAAAUUCACUUAACUGAACUACCUGACUUCGGCCCUGAUGUUUGAGUGGACCCCAUCUCACACACUGAGGUUGACAAUACUUGGCAAGUUGUUAGGCGAAGAGCAAAACAAUAAUCAUAAUCAUAGAAGCAUUCAUGUAGGUAUUGCAAGGCUCACAUCUCCAAAAUGUCCAGUGGAGACAUGAAAUAAUGAAUAUGUUACAUAGUGACAGUCAUUUAAAAUUUUUCAAAAGCCAC